Molecule: non-coding RNA, 31 nt
Filed under: Mus musculus (house mouse)
Lineage: Eukaryota; Metazoa; Chordata; Mammalia; Rodentia; Muridae
Source: RNAcentral
UCCAAGGCCAAAGUCCUGACAGAUGGAUCAC